UUGGAUGUAUGACGUAUGUCUUGUUUAAAUUUCAAUGGACCAGUUUUGUUUAGCUAAACAACUACUCCGACCAUAGUUGAGAAGGUAGAUCUUACCAUCAUUCUAGGAGGACAAAAAUUCGCAAACAUUGGUAGAAAUCCUCAUUUUCCAAAAUUUUGGAUCAUUUUGUGUUUGAACAAAGACAUAUUUGGAAUCCUUAUACUCAUAUUUUGUGGAUGAAUUGCAGGUUGCUGUGCUGAAUCAUGCAUGUGUACAGGGAAGCAAACUAACUGAUCGUUUGGCAAACAAAUCUACUACUACUAUUACCACUAACUGUUUGUAUAAGAUGCAGUUUAUCUACUACUAUCAUUGUUAUGAACAAAUGUUUGUACUUGCUGUAAUAGUAUCUUGCUUUUGAUUCCACCAUCACUUGUUGUUUAUUGUGAUUAGGUUAUCACAUUAUUCUUUGGUUGUUAUUGUUUCCUUA
This 466-nucleotide long non-coding RNA is filed under the name Solanum tuberosum (potato). Its description in RNAcentral is "long non-coding RNA (STUB_LNC005426)". The record is from RNAcentral. Lineage: Eukaryota; Viridiplantae; Streptophyta; Magnoliopsida; Solanales; Solanaceae.